AUUUCAGAUAUUCACCUACAUUUCUUUGCAACAUGCCCUAUCAGAUAUCCCGUCAUGGCUGUGCAGUCCUGGAUGAGUGGAUGAUGGAUCAUGUUUACGCUCAGGACGACAUCUGUAUUUCAGCUCAUGUGGAGAAAUGUUGUUGCUCUAAUGAAGUGUGGGGGUUCUCCAGAAAAGGGAUUUAAUCUUAUCCAGGAAAAAAGGCAGUGAAGAUAGCAGCACAGUCGCAGAGCACAUACUCCAUUGACUGCAUUGAUUUUCUGCUCAGGAUUUGGGUCUUUGAGGUCAAAAUUUUGGAUCUUUCUGUUUGGCCAGACGCUUGCCUAGCGCUCUAAUGGACUGAUUACAUGGAACACACUGGUCUGUGGUCACGCCGUCCUUAUUUUCUAUCAGUUAGGAUAUUGCUAUAUUGCUGGUCUUUGAAGAAAGACCAGCGGUUGCAUGAUUUUGCUCAUUUCCUUUGCUGUAGCUUGUUGUUUCCCAGCUGUUUCAGAGCCAUUUUAAUUCCUUUUUAUAAACUGCUUCACUGAUAAGAUAAGAAGGAAGACAUCACUACGUGGAUACCUGACUUGAUCUUUGAAUCUCAUGUUAAGCAGCACACAUACCAAACACAAGUACAUUUUAAAGACAUUUUUGAAAAACUGUUGUGUUUUGUUGUUGCUUCUGUGCAGAUCCUGUGUGGUUCCACUUGAUGCUGAGGUCUACAGGCCUGAAAGGUGUUACUGUGAAGCAAGAUUAGCAAGGAUCUUUGUUCGCCAUGGAGUAGGUGAAAGGAUGAUUCCACAGUGUGUGGCAUCGACUGUCAAACAUGGAGGAGGAAGUUUGACGGUCUGGGGUUGUUUGCUGAUCCAGGGUCGGUGACUCGUACACAGUGAGACGCUCCCUGAACCAAAACAGCUACCACAGCUUUCUGCAGCUCCAUGCAGCACCCUCUGGUAUGCACCUAGUUGGUCAGGGGUUCAUCCUACA
Molecule: long non-coding RNA, 969 nt
Organism: Oreochromis niloticus (Nile tilapia)
Lineage: Eukaryota; Metazoa; Chordata; Actinopteri; Cichliformes; Cichlidae
Exons: 2
Source: RefSeq, a predicted model, not a curated record